RNAcentral lists this ribosomal RNA (485 nucleotides) under uncultured bacterium. RNAcentral's name for it is "bacterial SSU rRNA". It matches the Rfam family "Bacterial small subunit ribosomal RNA", at positions 28 to 526 of the family's 1533-position model. The record is from RNAcentral.
GACGAACGCUGGCGGCGUGCUUAACACAUGCAAGUCGAACGGAAAGGCCUCAGCUUGCUGGGGUACUCGAGUGGCGAACGGGUGAGUAACACGUGGGUGAUCUGCCUUGCACUUCGGGAUAAGCUUGGGAAACUGGGUCUAAUACCGGAUAGGACAGCUGUUUAGUGUCAGUUGUGGAAAGUUUUUUCGGUGCAAGAUGAGCUCGCGGCCUAUCAGCUUGUUGGUGGGGUAAUGGCCUACCAAGGCGUCGACGGGUAGCCGGCCUGAGAGGGUGGACGGCCACAUUGGGACUGAGAUACGGCCCAGACUCCUACGGGAGGCAGCAGUGGGGAAUAUUGCACAAUGGGCGGAAGCCUGAUGCAGCGACGCCGCGUGGGGGAUGAAGGCCUUCGGGUUGUAAACUCCUUUCGACAGGGACGAAGCUUUUGUGACGGUACCUGUAUAAGAAGCACCGGCUAACUACGUGCCAGCCGCCGCCGUAACAC